UACGGGAGGCAGCAGUGGGGAAUAUUGCGCAAUGGGCGAAAGCCUGACGCAGCAAUACCGCAUGGGUGAGGAAGGUCUUCGGAUUGUAAAACCCUGUCAAUGUGGAAAAACGGCAUCUAGUCGAAUAGGCUAGGUGAUUGAUGGUACACAUAAAGGAAGCACCGGCUAACUUCGUGCCAGCAGCCGCGGUAAUACGAAGGGUGCAAGCGUUGUUCGGAUUUAUUGGGCGUAAAGCGCGCGCAGGCGGAUUUGUAAGCCAGAUGUGAAAUCUCGGGGCUCAACCCCGAAAGUGCGUCUGGAACUGCUAAUCUAGAGUGAUGGAGGGGAGUGAGGAAUUUCGCAUGUAGGGGUAAAAUCCGUAGAGAUGCGAAGGAACACCAGAGGCGAAGGCGUCUCUCUGGCCAUCUACUGACGCUGAGGCGCGAAAGCGUGGGGAGCAAACAGGAUUAGGUACCCUGGUAGUCCACGCCGUAAACUAUGUGCACUAGAUAUUGGCGCAUUGACCGCGUCAGUGUCGUAGCAAACGCGUUAAGUGCACCGCCUGGGGAGUACGGUCGCAAGACUA
This 565-nucleotide ribosomal RNA is filed under the name uncultured bacterium. RNAcentral's name for it is "bacterial SSU rRNA". It matches the Rfam family "Bacterial small subunit ribosomal RNA", at positions 340 to 896 of the family's 1533-position model. The record is from RNAcentral.